GAUGAACGCUGGCGGCGUGCCUAACACAUGCAAGUCGAACGGAGUUUAUGAAGUUUUCGGAUGGAUUAAACUUAGUGGCGGACGGGUGAGUAACGCGUGGGUAACCUGCCUCAUACAGGGGGAUAACAGUUGGAAACGACUGCUAAAACCGCAUAACAUUGCGACACCGCAUGGUGAUGCAAUUAAAUAUUUAUAGGUAUGAGAUGGGCCCGCGUCUGAUUAGCUAGUUGGUGAGGUAAUGGCUCACCAAGGCGACGAUCAGUAGCCGGCUUGAGAGAGUGACCGGCCACAAUGGGACUGAGACACGGCCCAAACUCCGACGGGAGGCAGCAGUGGGGAAUAUUGCACAAUGGGGGAAACCCUGAUGCAGCGACGCCGCGUGAGUGAAGAAGUAUUUCGGUAUGUAAAGCUCUAUCAGCAGGGAAGAAAAUGACGGUACCUGACUAAGAAGCCCCGGCUAACUACGUGCCAGCAGCUGCGGUAA
This 484-nucleotide ribosomal RNA is filed under the name uncultured bacterium. RNAcentral's name for it is "partial 16S ribosomal RNA". It matches the Rfam family "Bacterial small subunit ribosomal RNA", at positions 28 to 523 of the family's 1533-position model. The record is from RNAcentral.